GGGGCCCGCGGGGAGCGCUGGCUGCGGGCGGUGAGCUGAGCUCGCCCCCGGGGAGCUGUGGCCGGCGCCCCUGCCGGUUCCCUGAGCAGCGGACGUUCAUGCUGGGAGGGCGGCGGGUUGGAAGCAGGUGCCACCAUGGCUAGUGGCAGCUGUCAGGGGUGCGAAGAGGACGAGGAAACUCUGAAGAAGUUGAUAGUCAGGCUGAACAAUGUCCAGGAAGGAAAACAGAUAGAAACGCUGGUCCAAAUCCUGGAGGAUCUGCUGGUGUUCACGUACUCCGAGCGCGCCUCCAAGUUAUUUCAAGGCAAAAAUAUCCAUGUGCCUCUGUUGAUCGUCUUGGACUCCUAUAUGAGAGUCGCGAGUGUGCAGCAGGUGGGUUGGUCACUUCUGUGCAAAUUAAUAGAAGUCUGUCCAGGUACAAUGCAAAGCUUAAUGGGACCCCAGGAUGUUGGAAAUGAUUGGGAAGUCCUUGGUGUUCACCAAUUGAUUCUUAAAAUGCUAACAGUUCAUAAUGCCAGUGUAAACUUGUCAGUGAUUGGACUGAAGACCUUAGAUCUCCUCCUAACUUCAGGUAAAAUCACCUUGCUGAUAUUGGAUGAAGAAAGUGAUAUUUUCAUGUUAAUUUUUGAUGCCAUGCACUCAUUUCCAGCCAAUGAUGAAGUCCAGAAACUUGGAUGCAAAGCUUUACAUGUGCUGUUUGAGAGAGUCUCAGAGGAGCAACUGACUGAAUUUGUUGAGAACAAAGAUUAUAUGAUAUUGUUAAGUGCGUUAACAAAUUUUAAAGAUGAAGAGGAAAUUGUGCUUCAUGUGCUGCAUUGUUUACAUUCCCUAGCGAUUCCUUGCAAUAAUGUGGAAGUCCUCAUGAGUGGCAAUGUCAGGUGUUAUAAUAUUGUGGUGGAAGCUAUGAAAGCAUUCCCUAUGAGUGAAAGAAUUCAAGAAGUGAGUUGCUGUUUGCUCCAUAGGCUUACAUUAGGUAAUUUUUUCAAUAUCCUGGUAUUAAACGAAGUCCAUGAGUUUGUGGUGAAAGCUGUGCAGCAGUACCCAGAGAAUGCAGCAUUGCAGAUCUCAGCGCUCAGCUGUUUGGCCCUCCUCACUGAGACUAUUUUCUUAAAUCAAGAUUUAGAGGAAAAGAAUGAGAAUCAAGAGAAUGAUGAUGAGGGGGAAGAAGAUAAAUUGUUUUGGCUGGAAGCCUGUUACAAAGCAUUAACGUGGCAUAGAAAGAACAAGCACGUGCAGGAGGCCGCAUGCUGGGCACUAAAUAAUCUCCUUAUGUACCAAAACAGUUUACAUGAGAAGAUUGGAGAUGAAGAUGGCCAUUUCCCAGCUCAUAGGGAAGUGAUGCUCUCCAUGCUGAUGCAUUCUUCAUCAAAGGAAGUUUUCCAGGCAUCUGCGAAUGCAUUGUCAACUCUCUUAGAACAAAAUGUUAAUUUCAGAAAAAUACUGUUAUCAAAAGGAAUACACCUGAAUGUUUUGGAGUUAAUGCAGAAGCAUAUACAUUCUCCUGAAGUGGCUGAAAGUGGCUGUAAAAUGCUAAAUCAUCUUUUUGAAGGAAGCAACACUUCCCUGGAUAUAAUGGCAGCAGUGGUCCCCAAAAUACUAACAGUUAUGAAACGUCAUGAGACAUCAUUACCAGUGCAGCUGGAGGCGCUUCGAGCUAUUUUACAUUUUAUAGUGCCUGGCAUGCCAGAAGAAUCCAGGGAGGAUACAGAAUUUCAUCAUAAGCUAAAUAUGGUUAAAAAACAGUGUUUCAAGAAUGAUAUUCACAAACUGGUCCUAGCAGCUUUGAACAGGUUCAUUGGAAAUCCUGGGAUUCAGAAAUGUGGAUUAAAAGUAAUUUCUUCUAUUGUACAUUUUCCUGAUGCAUUAGAGAUGUUAUCCCUGGAAGGUGCUAUGGAUUCAGUGCUUCACACACUGCAGAUGUAUCCAGAUGACCAAGAAAUUCAGUGUCUGGGUUUAAGUCUUAUAGGAUACUUGAUUACAAAGAAGAAUGUGUUCAUAGGAACUGGACAUCUGCUGGCAAAAAUUCUGGUUUCCAGCUUAUACCGAUUUAAGGAUGUUGCUGAAAUACAGACUAAAGGAUUUCAGACAAUCUUAGCAAUCCUCAAAUUGUCAGCAUCUUUUUCUAAGCUGCUGGUGCAUCAUUCAUUUGACUUAGUAAUAUUCCAUCAAAUGUCUUCCAAUAUCAUGGAACAAAAGGAUCAACAGUUUCUAAACCUCUGUUGCAAGUGUUUUGCAAAAGUAGCUAUGGAUGAUUACUUAAAAAAUGUGAUGCUAGAGAGAGCGUGUGAUCAGAAUAACAGCAUCAUGGUUGAAUGCUUGCUUCUAUUGGGAGCAGAUGCCAAUCAAGCAAAGGAGGGAUCUUCUUUAAUUUGUCAGGUAUGUGAGAAAGAGAGCAGUCCCAAAUUGGUGGAACUCUUACUGAAUAGUGGAUCUCGUGAACAAGAUGUACGAAAAGCGUUGACGAUAAGCAUUGGGAAAGGUGACAGCCAGAUCAUCAGCUUGCUCUUAAGGAGGCUGGCCCUGGAUGUGGCCAACAAUAGCAUUUGCCUUGGAGGAUUUUGUAUAGGAAAAGUUGAACCUUCUUGGCUUGGUCCUUUAUUUCCAGAUAAGACUUCUAAUUUAAGGAAACAAACAAAUAUAGCAUCUACACUAGCAAGAAUGGUGAUCAGAUAUCAGAUGAAAAGUGCUGUGGAAGAAGGAACAGCCUCAGGCAGCGAUGGAAAUUUUUCUGAAGAUGUGCUGUCUAAAUUUGAUGAAUGGACCUUUAUUCCUGACUCUUCUAUGGACAGUGUGUUUGCUCAAAGUGAUGACCUGGAUAGUGAAGGAAGUGAAGGCUCAUUUCUUGUGAAAAAGAAAUCUAAUUCAAUUAGUGUAGGAGAAUUUUACCGAGAUGCCGUAUUACAGCGUUGCUCACCAAAUUUGCAAAGACAUUCCAAUUCCUUGGGGCCCAUUUUUGAUCAUGAAGAUUUACUGAAGCGAAAAAGAAAAAUAUUAUCUUCAGAUGAUUCACUCAGGUCAUCAAAACUUCAAUCCCAUAUGAGGCAUUCAGACAGCAUUUCUUCUCUGGCUUCUGAGAGAGAAUAUAUUACAUCACUAGACCUUUCAGCAAAUGAACUAAGAGAUAUUGAUGCCCUAAGCCAGAAAUGCUGUAUAAGUGUUCAUUUGGAGCAUCUUGAAAAGCUGGAGCUUCACCAGAAUGCACUCACGAGCUUUCCACAACAGCUAUGUGAAACUCUGAAGAGUUUGACACAUUUGGACUUGCACAGUAAUAAAUUUACAUCAUUUCCUUCUUAUUUGUUGAAAAUGAGUUGUAUUGCUAAUCUUGAUGUCUCUCGAAAUGACAUUGGACCCUCAGUGGUUUUAGAUCCUACAGUGAAAUGUCCAACUCUGAAACAGUUUAACCUGUCAUAUAACCAGCUGUCUUUUGUACCUGAGAACCUCACUGAUGUGGUAGAGAAACUGGAGCAGCUCAUUUUAGAAGGAAAUAAAAUAUCAGGGAUAUGCUCCCCCUUGAGACUGAAGGAACUGAAGAUUUUAAACCUUAGUAAGAACCACAUUUCAUCCCUAUCAGAGAACUUUCUUGAGGCUUGUCCUAAAGUGGAGAGUUUCAGUGCCAGAAUGAAUUUUCUUGCUGCUAUGCCUUUCUUGCCUCCUUCUAUGACAAUCCUAAAAUUAUCUCAGAACAAAUUUUCCUGUAUUCCAGAAGCAAUUUUAAAUCUUCCACACUUGCGGUCUUUAGAUAUGAGCAGCAAUGAUAUUCAGUACCUACCAGGUCCCGCACACUGGAAAUCUUUGAACUUAAGGGAACUCUUAUUUAGCCAUAAUCAGAUCAGCAUCUUGGACUUGAGUGAAAAAGCAUAUUUAUGGUCUAGAGUAGAGAAACUGCAUCUUUCUCACAAUAAACUGAAAGAGAUUCCUCCUGAGAUUGGCUGUCUUGAAAAUCUGACAUCUCUGGAUGUCAGUUACAACUUGGAACUAAGAUCCUUUCCCAAUGAAAUGGGGAAAUUAAGCAAAAUAUGGGAUCUUCCUUUGGAUGAACUGCAUCUUAACUUUGAUUUUAAACAUAUAGGAUGUAAAGCCAAAGACAUCAUAAGGUUUCUUCAACAGCGAUUAAAAAAGGCUGUGCCUUAUAACCGAAUGAAACUUAUGAUUGUGGGAAAUACUGGGAGUGGUAAAACCACCUUAUUGCAGCAAUUAAUGAAAACCAAGAAAUCAGAUCUUGGAAUGCAAAGUGCCACAGUUGGCAUAGAUGUGAAAGACUGGCCUAUCCAAAUAAGAGACAAAAGAAAGAGAGAUCUCGUCCUAAAUGUGUGGGAUUUUGCAGGUCGUGAGGAAUUCUAUAGUACUCAUCCCCAUUUUAUGACGCAGCGAGCAUUGUACCUUGCUGUCUAUGACCUCAGCAAGGGACAGGCUGAAGUUGAUGCCAUGAAGCCUUGGCUCUUCAAUAUAAAGGCUCGCGCUUCUUCUUCCCCUGUGAUUCUCGUUGGCACACAUUUGGAUGUUUCUGAUGAGAAGCAACGCAAAGCCUGCAUGAGUAAAAUCACCAAGGAACUCCUGAAUAAGCGAGGGUUCCCUGCCAUACGAGAUUACCACUUUGUGAAUGCCACCGAGGAAUCUGAUGCUUUGGCAAAACUUCGGAAAACCAUCAUAAACGAGAGCCUUAAUUUCAAGAUCCGAGAUCAGCUUGUUGUUGGACAGCUGAUUCCAGACUGCUAUGUAGAACUUGAAAAAAUCAUUUUAUCGGAGCGUAAAAAUGUGCCAAUUGAAUUUCCCGUAAUUGACCGGAAACGAUUAUUACAACUAGUGAGAGAAAAUCAGCUGCAGUUAGAUGAAAAUGAGCUUCCUCACGCAGUUCACUUUCUAAAUGAAUCAGGAGUCCUUCUUCAUUUUCAAGACCCAGCACUGCAGUUAAGUGACUUGUACUUUGUGGAACCCAAGUGGCUUUGUAAAAUCAUGGCACAGAUUUUGACAGUGAAAGUGGAAGGUUGUCCAAAACACCCUAAGGGCAUUAUUUCGCGUAGAGAUGUGGAAAAAUUUCUUUCAAAAAAAAGGAAAUUUCCAAAGAACUACAUGUCACAGUAUUUUAAGCUCCUAGAAAAAUUCCAGAUUGCUUUGCCAAUAGGAGAAGAAUAUUUGCUGGUUCCAAGCAGUUUGUCUGACCACAGGCCUGUGAUAGAGCUUCCCCAUUGUGAGAACUCUGAAAUUAUCAUCCGACUAUAUGAAAUGCCUUAUUUUCCAAUGGGAUUUUGGUCAAGAUUAAUCAAUCGAUUACUUGAGAUUUCACCUUACAUGCUUUCAGGGAGAGAACGAGCACUUCGCCCAAACAGAAUGUAUUGGCGACAAGGCAUUUACUUAAAUUGGUCUCCUGAAGCUUAUUGUCUGGUAGGAUCUGAAGUCUUAGACAAUCAUCCAGAGAGUUUCUUAAAAAUUACAGUUCCUUCUUGUAGAAAAGGCUGUAUUCUUUUGGGCCAAGUUGUGGACCACAUUGAUUCUCUCAUGGAAGAAUGGUUUCCUGGGUUGCUGGAGAUUGAUAUUUGUGGUGAAGGAGAAACUCUGUUGAAGAAAUGGGCAUUAUAUAGUUUUAAUGAUGGUGAAGAACAUCAAAAAAUCUUACUUGAUGACUUGAUGAAGAAAGCAGAGGAAGGAGAUCUCUUAGUAAAUCCAGAUCAACCAAGGCUCACCAUUCCAAUAUCUCAGAUUGCCCCUGACUUGAUUUUGGCUGACCUGCCUAGAAAUAUUAUGUUGAAUAAUGAUGAGUUGGAAUUUGAACAAGCUCCAGAGUUUCUCCUAGGUGAUGGCAGUUUUGGAUCAGUUUACCGAGCAGCCUAUGAAGGAGAAGAAGUGGCUGUGAAGAUUUUUAAUAAACAUACAUCACUCAGGCUGUUAAGACAAGAGCUUGUGGUGCUUUGCCACCUCCACCACCCCAGUUUGAUAUCUUUGCUGGCAGCUGGGAUUCGUCCCCGGAUGUUGGUGAUGGAGUUAGCCUCCAAGGGUUCCUUGGAUCGCCUGCUUCAGCAGGACAAAGCCAGCCUCACUAGAACCCUACAGCACAGGAUUGCACUCCACGUAGCUGAUGGUUUGAGAUACCUCCACUCAGCCAUGAUUAUAUACCGAGACCUGAAACCCCACAAUGUGCUGCUUUUCACACUGUAUCCCAAUGCUGCCAUCAUUGCAAAGAUUGCUGACUACGGCAUUGCUCAGUACUGCUGUAGAAUGGGGAUAAAAACAUCAGAGGGCACACCAGGGUUUCGUGCACCUGAAGUUGCCAGAGGAAAUGUCAUUUAUAACCAACAGGCUGAUGUUUAUUCAUUUGGUUUACUACUCUAUGACAUUUUGACAACUGGAGGUAGAAUAGUAGAGGGUUUGAAGUUUCCAAAUGAGUUUGAUGAAUUAGAAAUACAAGGAAAAUUACCUGAUCCAGUUAAAGAAUAUGGUUGUGCCCCAUGGCCUAUGGUUGAGAAAUUAAUUAAACAGUGUUUGAAAGAAAAUCCUCAAGAAAGGCCUACUUCUGCCCAGGUCUUUGACAUUUUGAAUUCAGCUGAAUUAGUCUGUCUGACGAGACGCAUUUUAUUACCUAAAAACGUAAUUGUUGAAUGCAUGGUUGCUACACAUCACAACAGCAGGAAUGCAAGCAUUUGGCUGGGCUGUGGGCACACCGACAGAGGACAGCUCUCAUUUCUUGACUUAAAUACUGAAGGAUACACUUCUGAGGAAGUUGCUGAUAGUAGAAUAUUGUGCUUAGCCUUGGUGCAUCUUCCUGUUGAAAAGGAAAGCUGGAUUGUGUCUGGGACACAGUCUGGUACUCUCCUGGUCAUCAAUACCGAAGAUGGGAAAAAGAGACAUACCCUAGAAAAGAUGACUGAUUCUGUCACUUGUUUGUAUUGCAAUUCCUUUUCCAAGCAAAGCAAACAAAAAAAUUUUCUUUUGGUUGGAACCGCUGAUGGCAAGUUAGCAAUUUUUGAAGAUAAGACUGUUAAGCUUAAAGGAGCUGCUCCUUUGAAGAUACUAAAUAUAGGAAAUGUCAGUACUCCAUUGAUGUGUUUGAGUGAAUCCACAAAUUCAACGGAAAGAAAUGUAAUGUGGGGAGGAUGUGGCACAAAGAUUUUCUCCUUUUCUAAUGAUUUCACCAUUCAGAAACUCAUUGAGACAAGAACAAGCCAACUGUUUUCUUAUGCAGCUUUCAGUGAUUCCAACAUCAUAACAGUGGUGGUAGACACUGCUCUCUAUAUUGCUAAGCAAAAUAGCCCUGUUGUGGAAGUGUGGGAUAAGAAAACUGAAAAACUCUGUGGACUAAUAGACUGCGUGCACUUUUUAAGGGAGGUAAUGGUAAAAGAAAACAAGGAAUCAAAACACAAAAUGUCUUAUUCUGGGAGAGUGAAAACCCUCUGCCUUCAGAAGAACACUGCUCUUUGGAUAGGAACUGGAGGAGGCCAUAUUUUACUCCUGGAUCUUUCAACUCGUCGACUUAUACGUGUAAUUUACAACUUUUGUAAUUCGGUCAGAGUCAUGAUGACAGCACAGCUAGGCAAGUUUCUUUCCUUUAGAUAUUUUUCAUAUUCUCUAAGUCUUAUAAAAUAUGCCUUUAUUUUACGUUUACAUUUUCUCUGAACUUUCCAGUGUCAUAUGGAUGGUCUUGGAGGGUCACACAGUGAAACAUAAGACUGGUAUAAAUUGUGAAUAGGGUCAUUACAGAAGUGGAGGGAGUAAAUGCUCUCAGUCCCACAAGAGAAGCAGAUUACUGCAGCUGAACACUCAGUUUGGGUCUUACUUGCUUUUUUCCUUUUUACCUAAGGCAAAAAUGGGAAAUACAUGGUAUUGAAUAUAUUUUACUUUUUGAGCAAAGAAAAUAAAGAAAAUGUUUGUUUUAAUCAUAGUCUAGCCUCCCAGCUUGUUAAAGAAUCUCAUUUGGUUUUUCAUUCUAUAACAAAUCUUUUUUCUUGCAGCAAUACAUGCUGAACUGCACAACCUACAAAUAUUGACAAAUCAUAUUUUACUCAAACUUUGUCUUUUUUUGCUUCUAUUUUUAUAUUUAAAUAUGAUAAAAUUGUGAUAGCACAUAAAAUAUAUUUUCUGCAUAAAUAUAUUUGCGUCUUCCUUUGAUAAUAAUUUGUUUUAGAAAAUAACAAUAAUAGCAUAUAUACAAAAGUUUACAAAAACGACACUAUGGGGUUUAAUUCUGAAAAAAACUAGAAUUUAUGUAACUUUAGCAAAUAAUGAAUGUUUUGAACAUGGUGAAGAAAAUAUAUUCAUUGCAAGUAUAUGUGAAAGAGGAACAUGUGUUUUUCUAGCACCUUCACCUAUUUUUCAUUUAUAGACUUUAGAGUUGCACAGGAGUUACAAUUAGAUGCUCUUAAUGACUGUAAACUAUUAAGAUACAUGUCCACACAAGCAGAGCAGUAGGUCUCUCAAUAGGUUGUCUCAGUAGUCUUAUUCUACCAAAGUUGUUGCAUUCUCUAGUUGAAUUGUAUGUACUUUGGGACCCAAAUAGCUUGCUUAUAACUGAAGUUAUAGUGGAAUGUCUAUGGGUUAUAGUUUGAUUUUAAAAUAAAGAUCAAUUGGAGGAUAGCCUACAAGGUGCUGCAUGAGCUGGCUUCACUGUACCUCUCCUGCCUCCAUCAUCUACCACAUUCCUACCAGAUCUUGCUUGUCUAGAUGAACAUCCAGUUCUUCUCAAUUACUAUGCUAUAUUUUGCCUCAGGGAUUUGCACAUGCUGUUUAUUUCUUUGCUUAGUUAACAUAGCUUUUUUUCAUGCUUAUUUAACUCAUAUGCUUUGAAAUGUUAGCUCCUGUGUCAAAACCUCUGAGAAGCCAACACUGAUUAGGUCAAAGUUCCCGCUUUGGGUUCCCAUAACAGCUUUCUUGCAUAGUUUUGAUCAUGGUCAUAUUUUUUUUUCAUUAAUGCUAGUCUCUUCACUAGAAUAUAAACUCCAAGACGGUUGGGUUAGUGUGUUUUUGUUUACCCCUUUUUUCCCAGGAUCUAGCCUAGGGCCUACAUAGAAGACUUUUGAUGCAAAUUUGUUGAAUAAAUUAGUGAAUGAUUUGAAAAGAAAAUAUGAUAUUUUGACAUAGUAUCAGUAUAUCCAUCCAUCUAAGUGUCCAUCUAAAUACUCAUAUUUGUACUAAAUACUCAUAUUUGUACCUUACCAUAUCCAAAGAACUUUUCACACACAUUACCUCGUUUAACAUUGUAACUUUGGGAAGGGUAAUGUAUAAAUACUGAGCCUAUUUUAUAGAAAGGUUAAGCUGUUUUCUCAGACUCACAUAAUUAAGAAUUGCAGCAAGGAGUGGAUCACAGAUUUUGUUAUUUUUUAAAAAAAUGCUGGUCUUUAUUCAAUAUAAUUGAAGGGUCACCUAGAAAAUAGAAUUGUGAAUUCAGUUCCAAGGUAUUUGUGUCUUAAACUAUGAACAACUUUACUUUUUUUUCAGGCCAGUUUAAUAUAUAGUUUUAACAGAAAACUUACAUAUUUUGUUUUUGUAAAGGAAGCCUUAAAAAUGUCAUGCUGGUAUUGGGCUACAACCGGAAAAAUACUGAAGAGAUACAAUCUUGCUUGACCGUUUGGGACAUCAAUCUUCCACAUGAAGUGCAAAAUUUAGAAAAACACAUUGAAGUGAGAAAAGAAUUAGCUGAAAAAAUGAGACGAACAUCUGUUGAGUAAGAGAGAAAUAGGAAUUGUCUUUGGAUAGGAAAAUUAUUCUCUCCUCUUGUAAAUAUUUAUUUUAAAAAUGUUCACAUGGAAAGGGUACUCACAUUUUUUGAAAUAGCUCGUGUGUAUGAAGGAAUGUUAUUAUUUUUAAUUUAAAUAUAUGUAAAAAUACUUACCAGUAAAUGUGUAUUUUAAAGAACUAUUUAAAACACAAUGUUAUAUUUCUUAUAAAUACCAGUUACUUUCGUUCAUUAAUUAAUGAAAAUAAAUCUGUGAAGUACCUAAUUUAAGUACUCAUACUAAAAUUUAUAAGGCCGAUAAUUUUUUGUUUUCUUGUCUGUAAUGGAGGUAAACUUUAUUUUAAAUUCUGUGCUUAAGACAGGACUAUUGCUUGUCGAUUUUUCUAGAAAUCUGCACGGUAUAAUGAAAAUAUUAAGACAGUUUCCCAUGUAAUGUAUUCCUUCUUAGAUUGCAUCGAAAUGCACUAUCAUAUAUGCUUGUAAAUAUUCAAAUGAAUUUGCACUAAUAAAGUCCUUUGUUGGUAUGUGAAUUCUCUUUGUUGCUGUUGCAAACAGUGCAUCUUACACAACUUCACUCAAUUCAAAAGAAAACUCCAUUAAAAGUACUAAUGAAAAAACAUGACAUACUGUCAAAGUCCUCAUAUCUAGGAAAGACACAGAAACUCUCUUUGUCACAGAAACUCUCUGUGUCUUUCCUAGACAUAAUAGAGUUGUUUUUCAACUCUAUGUUUGAAUGUGGAUACCCUGAAUUUUGUAUAAUUAGUGUAAAUACAGUGUUCAGUCCUUCAAGUGAUAUUUUUAUUUUUUUAUUCAUACCACUAGCUACUUGUUUUCUAAUCUGCUUCAUUCUAAUGCUUAUAUUCAUCUUUUCCCUAAAUUUGUGAUGCUGCAGAUCCUACAUCAUUCAGAUAGAAACCUUUUUUUUUUUCAGAAUUAUAGAAUUCCACAGCUCCUACCAAGACCAUGAGGAUAAAUAUCUAACACUUUUCAGUUGCUGAAGGAGAAAGGAGCUUUAGUUAUGAUGGAUAAAAAUAUCUGCCACCCUAGGCUUCCAAAUUAUACUUAAAUUGUUUACAUAGCUUACCACAAUAGGAGUAUCAGGGCCAAAUACCUAUGUAAUAAUUUGAGGUCAUUUCUGCUUUAGGAAAAGUACUUUCGGUAAAUUCUUUGGCCCUGACCAGUAUUCAUUAUUUCAGAUAAUUCCCUGUGAUAGGACAACUAGUACAUUUAAUAUUCUCAGAACUUAUGGCAUUUUACUAUGUGAAAACUUUAAAUUUAUUUAUAUUAAGGGUAAUCAAAUUCUUAAAGAUGAAAGAUUUUCUGUAUUUUAAAGGAAGCUAUGCUUUAACUUGUUAUGUAAUUAACAAAAAAAUCAUAUAUAAUAGAGCUCUUUGUUCCAGUGUUAUCUCUUUCAUUGUUACUUUGUAUUUGCAAUUUUUUUUACCAAAGACAAAUUAAAAAAAUGAAUACCAUAUUUAAAUGGAAUAAUAAAGGUUUUUUAAAAACUUUAAA
This is an RNA transcript of Homo sapiens (human), 11176 nucleotides long. It is a transcript of the gene named leucine rich repeat kinase 2, with no coding region annotated. Lineage: Eukaryota; Metazoa; Chordata; Mammalia; Primates; Hominidae. The transcript has 50 exons. The record is from RefSeq and is marked reviewed.